CGCAGCUUGCACAGAAGGUAUGGGAAUGGCAUUACUGCUUUAUUCUUUGCCUUGGUCUACACAGGAAUAAAGCAAAGAAGAAACUGGUGCCUAAGGUCACACUGAUAAUAGAUGAAGUGAUGGAGCAAGGAUUCAACCGCCAGCAGUUCGGUUCCUCAGCCUGCAGAGUCCUUGGAGAUAUACCAGAGUACAAGGAAGGAAGAGAAUGACAGAAUGGAAAGGGACAUCACCAGGUUUGCAUUGUGAUCACCACGCUAUGCAUCUACAUCCCUGUUGUGAUGCUGUGGUUCAAAUCUGUCAGCAGAACUAAGGCAGGACAAUCACUCCUGCAAUUCUACUUAAAUUGCAAAACAGCAAUGUGGUUUAUUGGAAAAUGUCCAGGUCUGGAGCCUGGCCUGAGUCUUCACCCAAUCACUCACUAGCUGUGCAUCUGUGGGUUUCAUUCUACUCCAUGGCUUAGAAAGGGGCAUAUCUCCUGGCACACUGGACUGGGCUGCCUCCCUUGCUGCUAUUCCCUGUCAAAGUCCCCGUGAUGGAUGCACAGUGAUGCUCAUGGUGAAGCUUAUACCAGGAUGUGGGAAGAAGACCACUAAUGACUAUAUAUCAGAUGGAUAAUGAAAAAGUCCUGACGUUCAGGAGAUGGCUGAGGAGAAUGUUUGCCUGUGAACAAUGGGGAUACAGGCAAGGCAGAGCACAGC
Long non-coding RNA from Homo sapiens (human), 698 nucleotides. NCBI's taxonomy places the organism in Eukaryota, Metazoa, Chordata, Mammalia, Primates, Hominidae. The record is from Ensembl.